GUGGGGCUCCAGGCAGGUCAGGCAUGAGUCUUUGAUGCGAUUCAUGUUUUCUUUUCCCCAGAACUACCUGAAGAAGCAGGUCACACCCCUCUUCAUUCACUUCAGAAAUAAUACCAACAACUGGAGGGAGAUCCCAGAAAACCUGAUGGACCAGUACAAUGAGAUUAAUGCCAUCAGCACCGCCUGCUCCAACGGAGUUCCAGAGUGUGAGGAGAUGGUCUCUGGCCUUUUCAAGCAGUGGAUGGAGAACCCCAAUAAUAACCCGAUCCACCCCAACCUGCGGUCCACCGUCUACUGCAACGCUAUCGCCCAGGGCGGUGAGGAGGAGUGGGACUUCGCCUGGGAGCAGUUCCGAAAUGCCACACUGGUCAAUGAGGCUGACAAGCUCCGGGCGGCCCUGGCCUGCAGCAAAGAGGUGUGGAUCCUGAACAGGUACCUGAGCUACACCCUGAACCCUGACUUAAUCCGGAAGCAGGACGCCACCUCUACCAUCAUCAGCAUUACCAACAACGUCAUUGGGCAAGGUCUGGUCUGGGACUUUAUCCAGAGCAACUGGAAGAAGCUUUUUAACGA
Molecule: small RNA, 573 nt
Filed under: Pongo abelii (Sumatran orangutan)
Lineage: Eukaryota; Metazoa; Chordata; Mammalia; Primates; Hominidae
Description: retained intron
Source: RNAcentral